GACGAACGCUGGCGGCGUGCUUAACACAUGCAAGUCGAACGGGAAGACAUGAAGAGCUUGCUCUUUAUGAAAUCCAGUGGCAAACGGGUGAGUAACACGUAAACAACCUGCCUUCAGGAUGGGGACAACAGACGGAAACGACUGCUAAUACCGAAUACGAUUCUUGAGUCGCAUGACACAAGAAAGAAAGGGUGGCCUCUACAAGUAAGCUAUCGCCUGAAGAGGGGUUUGCGUCCGAUUAGGUAGUUGGUGAGGUAACGGCCCACCAAGCCGACGAUCGGUAGCCGGUCUGAGAGGAUGAACGGCCACAUUGGAACUGAGACACGGUCCAGACUCCUACGGGAGGCAGCAGUGGGGAAUCUUCCGCAAUGGGCGAAAGCCUGACGGAGCAACGCCGCGUGAGUGAAGACGGCCUUCGGGUUGUAAAACUCUGUGAUUCGGGACGAAAGAUAAGUAGACGAAUAAUCUGCAUAAGUGACGGUACCGAAAAAGCAAGCCACGGCUAACUACGUGCCAGCCGCCGCGGUAA
Molecule: ribosomal RNA, 529 nt
Filed under: uncultured Veillonellaceae bacterium
Lineage: Bacteria; Bacillati; Bacillota; Negativicutes; Veillonellales; Veillonellaceae
Description: bacterial SSU rRNA
Rfam family: Bacterial small subunit ribosomal RNA
Source: RNAcentral